Molecule: ribosomal RNA, 764 nt
Filed under: uncultured archaeon
Lineage: Archaea
Description: bacterial SSU rRNA
Rfam family: Archaeal small subunit ribosomal RNA
Source: RNAcentral
AUGAGUCUUUGCCAAAAAGAUGCUAGAGUUAUGCUCUUUGGCAUCGCCCAAGGAUGAGGCCGCGACCGAUCAGGUUGUUGGUGAGGUAAUGGCUCACCAAGCCUUUUACCGGUGCGGGCCGUGAGAGCGGGAGCCCGGAGAUGGGCACUGAGACAAGGGCCCAGGCCCUACGGGGCGCAGCAGUCGCGAAAACUUUGCAAUACACGAAAGUGUGACAGGGCUAUCCCGAGUGCCAUCCGCUGAGGAAGGCUUUUACCCAGUCUAGAACGCUGGGGGAAUAAGGAGAGGGCAAGUCUGGUGUCAGCCGCCGCGGUAAUACCAGCUCUCCGAGUGGUGUGGAUGUUUAUUGGGCCUAAAGCAUCCGUAGCUGGCUAAGUUAGUCCCUUGUUAAAUCCACCGAAUUAAUCGUUGGAUUGCGGGGGAUACUGCUUGGCUAGGGGACGAGAGAGGCAGACGGUAUUUCCGGGGUAGGGGUGAAAUCCUAUAAUCCCGGGAAGACCACCAGUGGCGAAGGCUGUCUGCUAGAACGCGCCCGACGGUGAGGGAUGAAAGCUGGGGGAGCGAACCGGAUUAGAUACCCGGGUAGUCCCAGCUGUAGACGAUGCAGGCUAGGUGUUUGGACGGCCACGUGCCGUUCUAGUGCCGCAGGGAAGCUGUUAAGCCUGCCGCCUGGGGAGUACGAUCGCAAGAUUGAAACUUAAAGGAAUUGGCGGGGGAGCACCACAAGGGGUGAAGCUUGCGGUUCAAUUGGAUUCAACGCCGGA